This 468-nucleotide ribosomal RNA is filed under the name uncultured bacterium. RNAcentral's name for it is "partial 16S ribosomal RNA". It matches the Rfam family "Bacterial small subunit ribosomal RNA", at positions 28 to 507 of the family's 1533-position model. The record is from RNAcentral.
GACGAACGCUGGCGGCGUGCUUAACACAUGCAAGUCGAACGGAAAGGCCCUGCUUUUGUGGGGUGCUCGAGUGGCGAACGGGUGAGUAACACGUGAGUAACCUGCCCUUGACUUUGGGAUAACUUCAGGAAACUGGGGCUAAUACCGGAUAGGAGCUCCUGCUGCAUGGUGGGGGUUGGAAAGUUUCGGCGGUUGGGGAUGGACUCGCGGCUUAUCAGCUUGUUGGUGGGGGAGUGGCUUACCAAGGCUUUGACGGGUAGCCGGCCUGAGAGGGUGACCGGCCACAUUGGGACUGAGAUACGGCCCAGACUCCUACGGGAGGCAGCAGGGGGGAAUAUUGCACAAUGGGCGGAAGCCUGAUGCAGCAACGCCGCGUGCGGGAUGACGGCCUUCGGGUUGUAAACCGCUUUCGCCUGUGACGAAGCGUGAGUGACGGUAAUGGGUAAAGAAGCACCGGCUAACUACGUG